ACUGACAACAUGCCUGAGGCAGUAAGCAAAUUUUUCAACUCUUACAAGCGUGUAAUAAUUGCAGUGGGUUUGCCUGAAAGUGGGUCUUCAAAUGAAAUUGAACUUAGGGCCUCAUUCAACCUCAGGUCAGGUGCCUGCCCAGCCACCUGACUUGAAAUCCCAGUCAGGCUCUGCUUUCUAAAAUGUCCUUGUUUAAGUACAUCAAAGAGUUAUCAGUAGGAAGGAUCAAUUUCUACAUACCAGGACAAAACACAACCAACGACCCCUUCGAAGGGUGCAGGUGGGCGGGCAGAAACGGUUUUCACGCUUCCUGUUCAAAGGCACCUUCAUGAAAAAGUGCGACACAGUGGAAGGAGAGAGCAACCGACGUUUUUGCAGAUCUCUGACGAUAGAUCUACGGUGACACCUCAAUCCUCACAUGGAAAAGAAAAACACACGGCAAAGAAAGAUGAGUUCAGCGUCAUCAUGAUAGAGGACACCUGAGUAAAGCUCUUAUUUGCUCGAAACCAAACAUCUGAUGUGUUCAGUGAUUUUUUUCAACUUGAUUUUUUGGGACAAAUCACUUGUUCAAAUUAUUUAUCAAGCAACUUCCUUCUAACUAAAGUCCUGACACACUGUAAGCUACAGUUUUAUAUUACCAGUGAUAGUGAGAAGAUGAGGAAAUGACAAUAAAGCCCUGUUAUUACUCCAAAUAAGGAAAUGUGUCAUGUGUUAUGAACUGAGCAUGAGGACAUACAGUCAGUUUUCAGUUUACACGUCUACAAAGCUAUAUAUAGCUGUAUUUCUUGGAGGUUUCUAGUAAAUUGUAUUAAGCCGACAGACGCUCCUAUCAAAUAGUCCAUAGCAUGAACAUCUCAGCAGGCUAAAUACAGAUAGAAAUCUUGAUAUACCCUAACUGUACUGCCGUGUAAAGCUUAUACUGAAGUUGCACCAUGGAUGCUUACAGCACUUAAUCAAAAAGUACAGGCAAUUUGUGUGACAUCAGGAAAUGUGAGGCGCUAAAACGGGAUCAGGCUGUCCUGGACUCCAAGUAGAACAGCAUGUUUUUUUUCUUGCUUUCUGAUUUUCUAAACGGAGGUUGAAAUAAAUCAUCUCUCUUUAUAAAAUAUCUAGGCAUAUUCAAACAGACCAUAUGUUUUUUUCUAAGCUUUAUGUGUACACAUUAAAAUUCAGUUAUUUGGAAACAAAUGAAAAACUUUCUCUCCAGUAGGAAAAUGUAAAACACCAUUUAAUGAAGAUGACGUAUCAGUAAAACAUUUCUUGCAAAAGUAUUCCUAACUUUUUUACACAAUUUUUCAUAGUACAACCAGGAGCCUUGGUGCAGUCUUGUGGAGUCUUGUGGAGAAAUGUCACAUUUUAUGGCAAACCUAUAAAAUAAGAAUCCUAAAAGAGUGGAGUGCAUUUAUAUUUAGCCAUCCUGAGUCAUCAAUUGUGUUGUAAAUUACAGAUGCAAUUAUAACUGCCAUUAUAGCUGCAGGUCUUUUGGGUAUGUUUCUAUCCGCUUUGUACAUCUACCUAAUUCAUUCGCUUGAUUCCUCUCUGAAUAGCUUCACCGUUCCUGCUGAAGAACACUGUCCCCAUAGAAUGAUGGUGCCAUUACCAUGUUUCACCAUGGGGACAGUGUUUUCAGGUUGAUGUGGGGUAUGGCAGAUAAUUAAACUUGUUCUCAUUUAACCAGAGCACCUUUGUUGUGUUCCCUAGAUGGCUUGUGGCAAACAGAAAACGGUACCUCGUAUGACUGCCGCUCAGCAAUUGAUUGUUCCUGCUACACUCCCACAAAUGCAUGACUAAUAGUUGUCCUAUCGACGGAUUUGUUUAUUCAUUAUCAAGAGCCUCUAGGCUGCUUCUCUGAUUAAUGCUCUUCUUGCCCAGCCAUGUCUUUGUAGGUUUACAGCUCUGUCAUUUUCCACUUUUUGGAUGAUGGAUUAAACAGUGCUGGGUGAGAUGUUUAAAGCUCCUUUCCUACCUAAUCUGGCGUUAACUUCUCCACAACCCCUCACCUGUCUGCUCUGUUCGUUGGUCUUUAAAAUGGGGUACAGAUUUUGUUCACUAAUGUUUUUCCAACAAAACUUCUGAGCCCUGCAACUGUUCAUUUUGUUUGGGUGUAUCAAGAUAAAUAGGGCUGAAUACAAAAAGCACACCACAUUUUUCUAAUUUUGUUUAGGUAAAAAAAUUAAAAUCAUGUGCAUGUUUUCCUUCCAUUCCACUGUUACUUGGACAUUUUGUGGUGCAUGUCAAACAAUUAAAAUGAAAUAAAGUUUGUUUUUAUAAUGUGACAAAAUGUUAAGCAGCUGUUAACUGGCUUGCAAACUUUUGUGAAGAUGUUUUGUUUUUGUCUUAAACUCAAAUGUUGAGUGUCAUCUUCAGGCAUUAAAUUGAUUGAAGAAUUUUGUAAUUUUCUAAACGAUAUAUUGUUUCAUUAAAAAAAUGCUAGAGUACUUGCUGUCAUAAAAACUAAACACAUCAUACAUCUUAGAAUAUCUUCUGUUGCAUAGUCUGAGAAAAUAGAAUGAUAGCAAACCUAUAAACCACAGCUAUAUUAGCUUUAAGUUGAGAUGAAAAAUGUGUCCCCUGCCCCCUUUAAUUUGUUUUCAACAUUUUCUCAGUUAUCUAUUUCGGAUUCUUGGAAGACAGCCAUAACAAGCUCUCUUUUCUGGGGGCAAAAGUUCAGGGAUAAAAGGAAUCGCUUGGGAGAUUACUCCCAUGUACGUAACAUGGACGCCUGGAACACAAACAAAGAGCAUUAUGCUGCUCAGCUUUAUUUCAGUCAGAGCGUGCUGCUCCUCAGACACUCUGUCCACCUUUUUAGCUUUCAUAUCACCAAAAAAAGAGAGGAGUUUAGACUCAAUUUAUUUUCUUAGCACAGAUCCUCCCGCUGCCAUGGGGUCUCCUUGUCGCUGUUUAAAUAAAACAUCUUUUUUUUCAUACAUCCACUCAGGGCAGUGUUUUUCAAUCAGAUUAGUACAGCACAUUCUGUUCUGUUUCACUUCCUGAUGACUGUGCACAGCCUCUAUCCCUGAAUGAACUUACCCUCGUGCUUCUGGUUACAGCAAGGCACUCAUUCAGACACACGUACGCUUGCAAACCGCCUGUUAGAUUUCAGGACCUUGUACAAUACUUGGCAAAUGUGUCAAGCAAUUGUAAUUUCAGUAAAGUGACAUUGCUUAUUUAUGAAGAUCUGCAAACAUAUACACAGAAAAAUAGAGUCUAAAAAGCCACAAGUAAGGCAUACAUUUAUAGUUAUAUGUUGUGUGUAAAUAAAAAAGACGCUAAUUUAAUCGGUCAUAAUUUACUUUGCCUGUGUCCUUCCAUGCUUAUGGUCUUCACUAGAUCAGAAACAAGAUCCCCUCAGUGCUCCAGGAAGGAAAAACAACAUUUCAAGCCAUGUGUUUCUUUUGAAAUCUAACCAGGCGUGACAGUCUGACUCAGGUCACAAAAGUUUAUUUGACCUCCUCUUAAAUAGUAAGACCGAGGUCAGUGCCAACAAAGCUACUGGGGCAGAGCAGGUCAAGAGUUAGGGCAGAACUCAUUUGCCUGAACUCAACUCAGCAGUUCACUGUCUUCAGAAUUUUGCUUCUAAUUAAGCGUGCGUCUAUUUUUAAUAGCUGCAAAGAGGUGAUGAUAAGUGAAGAGGUUGUGGUUGUUUUUCUAGAUCACAGGGCCAUAGCAGUUCUGUUUCUGUGCUAUUUUUUUCCUUUUUUUAACAAAAUGUUCUAAAACAAGUGAGUGUGAAAAGCUGCUUUCUUCUGUUAACCAGAUGGUCAGGAGGAUUACUCAGCUAGUUGACAACAUCCCUGUGGGUUUGCAGAAUCAGGUUGACAUGCGUUAUGUCACCUUUGUAAUUAACAGGAUCAUAAUGUUCUUCCCAACAGCUCCCUGUUGUCAGCCGGCCGUGUUGUCAACAGUGACACCUGGCUUCAAGAUUCAACAACCGGAAAUAGGCUCUAAACUGUUCGAAGUUCCCAUUUCAUACCUUUAAGGAGAAUUUCUGAUUCAUUUCUUGAUAAAGAUAUGUUCACAAAAAUGAGUCUAGGUUAGGUUAGGUUAGGUUAAACUUUAUUAAUCCCAUAAGGAAAUUAAGGUUAUCUGUUGCUCACACAUUAAUUCACAUCCACACAACAUUAAAAUCUAACCAUACUCUAUUGUCUUUUGUAAGGCAUUUAUUGUAAAAUAAAUAAAUAAAUAAAUAAAAAAAGUUAGUAUUGACACACAAACACCAGAAUCAUUAAAAACACAAAAGCAUCACAGCAUUACCAAAAGAAAAAUGUUUUAUAUUACACACAACUUUAUUUAAAAUAUCUGCUUAGUACAAGUUAUCAAAAACAUUGUUACGAGCAUUAAGUAAAACAAUAUCAAAAUUGUUUUUACUGAAACACUCUACGAGGAGAAAUAAUAAAGCUACAGAGUCUGAGUGAAAACAGUGGUUCCUCACAUUGAUUUUAAAAACAGAAAACUCUUGGAAAUUAGA
Xiphophorus hellerii (green swordtail) is the source of this 4468-nucleotide long non-coding RNA. RefSeq lists it as uncharacterized. The record is from RefSeq and is a predicted model, not a curated record. Lineage: Eukaryota; Metazoa; Chordata; Actinopteri; Cyprinodontiformes; Poeciliidae. The transcript has 3 exons.